GACGAACGCUGGCGGCGUGCUUAACACAUGCAAGUCGAACGGAAAGGCCCUGCUUUUGUGGGGUUCUCGAGUGGCGAACGGGUGAGUAACACGUGAGUAACCUGCCCUUGACUUUGGGAUAACUUCAGGAAACUGGGGCUAAUACCGGAUAGGAGCUCCUGCUGCAUGGUGGGGGUUGGAAAGUUUCGGCGGUUGGGGAUGGACUCGCGGCUUAUCGGCUUGUUGGUGGGGUAGUGGCUGACCAAGGCUUUGACGGGUAGCCGGCCUGGGAGGGUGACCGGCCACAAUGGGACUGAGAUACGGCCCAGUCUCCUACGGGGGGCAGCAGUGGGGAGUAUUACACAGUGGGCCGGAGCCUGAUGCGGAAGCGCCGCGUGCGGGAUGACGGCCUGCGGGUUGUGAACCGCUUUCGCCUGAGACGAAGCGUGAGUGACGGUAAUGGGUAAAGAAGCACCGGCUAACUACGUG
This 468-nucleotide ribosomal RNA is filed under the name uncultured bacterium. RNAcentral's name for it is "partial 16S ribosomal RNA". It matches the Rfam family "Bacterial small subunit ribosomal RNA", at positions 28 to 507 of the family's 1533-position model. The record is from RNAcentral.